GUCUUUUUGAGUAAUAAUUUAAAGUCUAAUCUGCCCACUGAUAUAUAAUUAAAGGGCUGCAGUAUAUUGACUGUACAAAGGUAGCAUAAUCAUUAGUCUUUUAAUUGAAGACUUGUAUGAAAGAUUUGAUGAAAUAUAAACUGUCUCUAAGUUAUUAAUAAAAAUUAAUUUUUUAAUUAAAAAGUUAAAAUAAAAUAAAAAGACGAGAAGACCCUAUAGAGUUUUAUAAUAAUAAUUUUUUUAAUAAAAAUAUUUAAAUAAUAAUGUUGAAAUUUUGUUAUUAUUUUAUUGGGGUGAUAGAAAAAUUAAAUUAACUUUUUUUAAUAAAAUAACAUAAAUAAGUGAUUUUUUGAUCCAAUAAUAUUGAUUAAAAGAAAAAAUUACCUUAGGGAUAACAGCGUAAUUUUUUCUUUUAGUACAAAUAAAAGAAAAAGAUUGCGACCUCGAUGUUGGAUUAAGAUAAAAUUUAAAUGCAAAAGUUUAAAAUUUUGAUCUGUUCGAUCAUUAAAAUCUUACAU
RNAcentral lists this ribosomal RNA (518 nucleotides) under Philaethria wernickei. RNAcentral's name for it is "partial 16S ribosomal RNA". The stretch from base 391 to 518 matches the Rfam family "Archaeal large subunit ribosomal RNA", at positions 2542 to 2670 of the family's 2987-position model. Lineage: Eukaryota; Metazoa; Arthropoda; Insecta; Lepidoptera; Nymphalidae. The record is from RNAcentral.